RNAcentral lists this ribosomal RNA (750 nucleotides) under Capnocytophaga sp. 87. Its description in RNAcentral is "bacterial SSU rRNA". It matches the Rfam family "Bacterial small subunit ribosomal RNA", at positions 115 to 864 of the family's 1533-position model. Lineage: Bacteria; Pseudomonadati; Bacteroidota; Flavobacteriia; Flavobacteriales; Flavobacteriaceae. The record is from RNAcentral.
GCGUGUACAAUCUUCCUUUUACAGAGGGAUAACCUGAAGAAAAUUUGGACUAAUACCUCAUAGAAUUACUUUAUGGCAUCAUAGGGUAAUUAAAGUUACGGUGGUAAAAGAUGAGUACGCGUUCUAUUAGCUAGUUGGAGUGGUAACGGCACCCCAAGGCUACGAUAGAUAGGGGUCCUGAGAGGGAGAUCCCCCACACUGGUACUGAGACAGGGACCAGACUCCUACGGGAGGCAGCAGUGAGGAAUAUUGGUCAAUGGUCGGAAGACUGAACCAGCCAUGCCGCGUGCAGGAAGACGGCCUUAUGGGUUGUAAACUGCUUUUGCAAGGGAAGAAUAAGCUCUACGCGUAGAGUGAUGACGGUACUUUGCGAAUAAGCAUCGGCUAACUCCGUGCCAGCAGCCGCGGUAAUACGGAGGAUGCGAGCGUUAUCCGGAAUCAUUGGGUUUAAAGGGUCUGUAGGCGGGUUGUUAAGUCAGGGGUGAAAGUUUGCGGCUUAACCGUAAAAUUGCCUUUGAUACUGGCUAUCUUGAAUUAUUGUGAAGUUGUUAGAAUGUGUAGUGUAGCGGUGAAAUGCAUAGAUAUUACACAGAAUACCGAUUGCGAAGGCAGAUGACUAACAAUAGAUUGACGCUGAGAGACGAAAGCGUGGGGAGCGAACAGGAUUAGAUACCCUGGUAGUCCACGCUGUAAACGAUAAAGAGCUAGCUGUUUGGUUGUGAGAUUGAGUGGCUAAGCGAAAGUGAUAAG